AUACCCGNGUAGUUCCAGCUGUAAAGUAUGCAGGNNANGUGUUUGGAUGGNGACGUGCCGUNGUAGUGUCGCUNGGAAGNUUUUUAGCNNGCNGUCUGGGGAGUACGNUCGCAAGAUUGAAAGUUAAAAGAAUNGACGGGGGAGCACCACAAGGCGUGAAGCNUGNGGUUUAAUNGGAGUCAACGCCGGAAAUCUCACCGGGAGCGANANCAGUANGAAGGCCAGAUUAAAGGUCUUGCCAGACGAGCUGAGAGGAGGUGCAUGGCCGUCGCCAGUUCGUGCCGUGAGGUGUCCUGUUAAGUCAGGCAACGAUCGAGACCCGCGUCCUCUGUUGCAACUAGCUUUGAGCUGGGCACACUGAGGAGACCGCCACUGAUAAAGUGGAGGAAGGAGCGGGCCACGGCAGGUCAGUAUGCCCCGAAUCUCCCGGGCCACACGCGAGCUGCAAUGGCAGGUACAAUGGGUUCCGACCUCGAAAGGGGAAGGCAAUCUCGAAAGCCUGCCGUAGUUGGGAUCGAGGGCUGCAACCCGCCCUCGUGAACAUGGAAUCCCUAGUAAUCGC
This 562-nucleotide ribosomal RNA is filed under the name uncultured archaeon. RNAcentral describes it as "partial 16S ribosomal RNA". It matches the Rfam family "Archaeal small subunit ribosomal RNA", at positions 733 to 1301 of the family's 1478-position model. The record is from RNAcentral.